This 432-nucleotide ribosomal RNA is filed under the name uncultured bacterium. RNAcentral describes it as "partial 16S ribosomal RNA". It matches the Rfam family "Bacterial small subunit ribosomal RNA", at positions 29 to 506 of the family's 1533-position model. The record is from RNAcentral.
AACGAACGCUGGCGGCAUGCCUAACACAUGCAAGUCGAACGAGACCUUCGGGUCUAGUGGCGCACGGGUGCGUAACGCGUGGGAACCUGCCCUUAGGUUCGGAAUAACUCCCCGAAAGGGGUGCUAAUACCGGAUAAUGUCUUCGGACCAAAGAUUUAUCGCCUUUGGAUGGGCCCGCGUUGGAUUAGCUAGUUGGUAGGGUAAAAGCCUACCAAGGCGACGAUCCAUAGCUGGUCCGAGAGGAUGAUCAGCCACACUGGGACUGAGACCCGGCCCAGACUUCUACGGGAGGCCGGCGUGGGGAAUAAUGGAACAAGGGCCAAAGCCCGAUCCCGCCAUGCCGCGGUAGUGAUGAAGGCCUUAGGGUUUUUAAGCUUUUUUUCCCCGGAUUAUAAUGAACGUACCCGGAGGAUUAGCCCCGGCCAAACCCCU